GUAUUGGCCUACCGUGGCAAUGACGGGUAACGGGGAAUUAGGGUUCGAUUCCGGAGAGGGAGCCUGAGAAACGGCUACCACAUCUAGGGAAGGCAGCAGGCGCGCAAAUUACCCAAUCCUAAUACAGGGAGGUAGUGACAAGAAAUAACAGUACAGGACUUUUUGGUUUUGUAAUUGGAAUGAGUUAAGUAUAAACCCCUUUACAAGUAUCAAUUGGAGGGCAAGUCUGGUGCCAGCAGCCGCGGUAAUUCCAGCUCCAAUAGCGUAUAUUAAAGUUGUUGCAGUUAAAAAGCUCGUAGUUGGAUUUCUGUUAAUAAUUUAUAUAAAAUAUUUUGAUGAAUAUUUAUAUAAUAUUAACAUAAUUCAUAUUACUAUAUAUUUUAGUAUAUAAAAUUUUACUUUGAGAAAAUUAGAGUGCUUAAAGCAGGCAUAUGCCUUGAAUACUCCAGCAUGGAAUAAUAUUAAAGAUUUUUAUCUUUCUUAUUGGUUCCAAGAUAAGAAUAAUGAUUAAUAGGGACAGUUGGGGGCAUUUGUAUUUAA
Molecule: ribosomal RNA, 540 nt
Filed under: Cryptosporidium sp. GC-2015
Lineage: Eukaryota; Apicomplexa; Conoidasida; Eucoccidiorida; Cryptosporidiidae
Description: SSU rRNA
Rfam family: Eukaryotic small subunit ribosomal RNA
Source: RNAcentral